AAUUUCUCAAGCUUGGAUGGCCUUUUUUGUCUGUCCUUAGCCUUGGUUGUUGGGCUUUGCCGUGUCCUUUAUUGUGGACGGCUGGCCUUAAAAGCAUUAGCUGAUCCUUGUGAGGCACUGGUUCUACUCAGCGUGAUAAUAGUCUGAUCGCUGAGGACAUCUUUUGGGAUGGCCAGUCCUCAUUUGGGUUGCUUAUAAACCUGGUCUUGCAGAUUCUCCAAUCUGUGGUUCCAUUUUUCAG
This 241-nucleotide unclassified non-coding RNA is filed under the name uncultured Clavulina. RNAcentral's name for it is "sequence contains ITS2". Lineage: Eukaryota; Fungi; Basidiomycota; Agaricomycetes; Cantharellales; Hydnaceae. The record is from RNAcentral.